This 625-nucleotide long non-coding RNA is filed under the name Nicotiana benthamiana. RNAcentral's name for it is "long non-coding RNA (NBEN_LNC015120)". Lineage: Eukaryota; Viridiplantae; Streptophyta; Magnoliopsida; Solanales; Solanaceae. The record is from RNAcentral.
AACGAGAGAGCACGAGAAUAAAUCUGGAGAGUAAUUAUUAAUGAACCUAGCUGUUCCUUUUCCGAUGGUCUCCAUCUCUUUCAUGUAAAACAUCAUAGCCACAAAAAUUAUAGCCUUGCUUUCCCCAAAAUCUAUCCGGAAAUCAGCCAUCUUCACACCUCUAAACCAUGGUAAAUCAGCCACUAACACCACCUGAAAAAACCUUGAAAACUAGCAGAGAAACUGCUCAUGUAAACCUCCAUUUCCCCAUUAAAACCAAACAACCGCCCAAAACCAGCUGAAAUGCAGCACCAAACCACCCCCAAAAAUAGUCGUCAUCGCACCAUGUUUGCCGACGAAUAGAGGCUCGUUUUAACUUUGUAAGCCACCCAACUUCAGUUGAGUUUUUGAGUUGGGUUCAAGGUUUCUUGCGCUGGUGCAGUUCUCGACCGGAUCGUGGUUUGUUUGUACGAACGUUUUAGCAAUCCUUUGCUCUCGACAAUGUAUUAAAGAUUAUAUUUCAAAUAUUAAAAGUUCAGUUUAUUUUCCUUUCCUUCAUGAAUUGUUUCGAUUUUUUCUUAAAUUUUGCUUGUCACUGAUUUGAUGUUUCACAUUUUGUUACUUGGAUUUGCCGACUUGUAUUAAU